This 253-nucleotide ribosomal RNA is filed under the name uncultured bacterium. RNAcentral's name for it is "partial 16S ribosomal RNA". It matches the Rfam family "Bacterial small subunit ribosomal RNA", at positions 524 to 776 of the family's 1533-position model. The record is from RNAcentral.
UACGGGGGGGGCAAGCGUUGUUCGGAAUUACUGGGCGUAAAGGGCUCGUAGGCGGCCAACUAAGUCAGACGUGAAAUCCCUCGGCUUAACCGGGGAACUGCGUCUGAUACUGGAUGGCUUGAAUCCGGGAGAGGGAUGCGGAAUUCCAGGUGUAGCGGUGAAAUGCGCAGAUAUCAGGAGGAACACCGGUGGCGAAGGCGGGUCUCUGGGCCGUAACUGACGCUGAGGAGCGAAAGCGUGGGGAGCGAACAGG